GAUGAACGCUGGCGGCGUGCUUAACACAUGCAAGUCGAACGAAACACCUUAUUUGAUUUUCUUCGGAACUGAAGAUUUGGUGAUUGAGUGGCGGACGGGUGAGUAACGCGUGGGUAACCUGCCCUGUACAGGGGGAUAACAGUCAGAAAUGACUGCUAAUACCGCAUAAGACAACAGCACGGAAUGGUGCAGGGGUAAAAACUCCGGUGGUACAGGAUGGACCCGCGUCUGAUUAGCUGGUUGGUGAGGUAACGGCUCACCAAGGCGACGAUCAGUAGCCGGCUUGAGAGAGUGAACGGCCACAUUGGGACUGAGACACGGCCCAAACUCCUACGGGAGGCAGCAGUGGGGAAUAUUGCACAAUGGGGGAAACCCUGAUGCAGCGACGCCGCGUGAGUGAAGAAGUAUUUCGGUAUGUAAAGCUCUAUCAGCAGGGAAGAAAAUGACGGUACCUGACGAAGAAGCCCCGGCUAACUACGUG
RNAcentral lists this ribosomal RNA (481 nucleotides) under uncultured bacterium. Its description in RNAcentral is "partial 16S ribosomal RNA". It matches the Rfam family "Bacterial small subunit ribosomal RNA", at positions 28 to 507 of the family's 1533-position model. The record is from RNAcentral.